RNAcentral lists this ribosomal RNA (490 nucleotides) under uncultured bacterium. Its description in RNAcentral is "partial 16S ribosomal RNA". It matches the Rfam family "Bacterial small subunit ribosomal RNA", at positions 30 to 507 of the family's 1533-position model. The record is from RNAcentral.
AUUGAACGCUGGCGGCAGGCCUAACACAUGCAAGUCGAACGGUAACAGGAAGCAGCUUGCUGCUUUGCUGACGAGUGGCGGACGUGUGAGUAAUGUCUGUGAAACUGCCUGAUGGAGGGGGAUAACUACUGGAAACGGUAGCUAAUACCGCAUAAUGUCGCAAGCCCAAAGUGGGGGACCUUCGGGCCUCUUGCCAUCGGCUGUGCCCAGAUGGGAUUAGCUAGUAGGUGGGGUAAAGGCUCACCUAGGCGACGAUCCCUAGCUGGUCUGAGAGGAUGACCAGCCACACUGGAACUGAGACACGGUCCAGACUCCUACGGGAGGCAGCAGUGGGGAAUAUUGCACAAUGGGCGCAAGCCUGAUGCAGCCAUGCCGCGUGUAUGAAGAAGGCCUUCGGGUUGUAAAGUACUUUCAGCGGGGAGGAAGGGAGUAAAGUUAAUACCUUUGCUUAUUGACGUUACCCGCAGAAGAAGCACCGGCUAACUCCGUG